GUAGGUGGUUCGCCUACUAGAGCCUGCCGUGACUAUAAAUAAUGGCGCAGUCUGCCAGCGUUGCAGGCAACAUCUCUAACAUGCUAGAAGUUACUGUACAGUAUCACUAGCAGCACGCCCUGUCGUGUCCACAGAUCAAAUAGAGGUGGCCCUCCGGGGUUGAGACAUGAUCGAUUAGAAGCCUGAAAUGGAUUUUAGUGGAAGGAACCUGCGGAAGGAUCAUUACAGAGAACUUGCCCUUCGGGGUAGAUCUCCCACCCUUUGUUUACAUUACCUUUGUUGCUUUGGCGGGCCCGUCUCACGACCACCGGCUUCGGCUGGUCAGUGCCCGCCAGAGGACCCCAAACUCUUUUGUUAAUGUCGUCUGAGUACUAUAUAAUAGUUAAAACUUUCAACAACGGAUCUCUUGGCUCUC
Molecule: unclassified non-coding RNA, 415 nt
Filed under: rhizosphere metagenome
Description: partial ribosomal RNA internal transcribed spacer region
Source: RNAcentral